Molecule: ribosomal RNA, 490 nt
Filed under: uncultured bacterium
Lineage: Bacteria
Description: partial 16S ribosomal RNA
Rfam family: Bacterial small subunit ribosomal RNA
Source: RNAcentral
GAUGAACGCUAGCGAUAGGCUUAACACAUGCAAGUCGAGGGGCAGCAUGGUCUUAGCUUGCUAAGACUGAUGGCGACCGGCGCACGGGUGCGUAACGCGUAUGCAACUUGCCUCACAAAGGGGGAUAACCCGUCGAAAGACGGACUAAUACCGCGUACACUCCAUCUUGGGCAUCCAAGGUAGAGGAAAUGAAAUUCGCUGUGAGAUAGGCAUGCGUCCCAUUAGCUAGUUGGUGAGGUAACGGCUCACCAAGGCGACGAUGGGUAGGGGAACUGAGAGGUUGAACCCCCACACUGGUACUGAGACACGGACCAGACUCCUACGGGAGGCAGCAGUGAGGAAUAUUGGUCAAUGGGCGAGAGCCUGAACCAGCCAAGUCGCGUGAAGGAUGACUGUCUUAUGGAUUGUAAACUUCUUUUAUACGGGAAUAACAAGAGUCACGUGUGACUCCCUGCAUGUACCGUAUGAAUAAGCAUCGGCUAACUCCGUG